GAUAGGACUAAGACAUGCUAGUCGAGUGAUUCAGGCAAAACGAGUCACGGCACGCAGCUCAGUAACACGUGGCUAAUCUGCCCUUAGGACGAGAACAACCCCGGGAAACUGGGGCUAACUCUCGAUAGGCGAAGAACUCUGGAAUGAGUCUUUACCUAAAUAGUGCAACGUUAUCCUCGUUGCAUCGCCUAAGGAUGAGGCCGCGACCGAUCAGGUUGUUGGCGAGGUAAUGGCUCACCAAGCCUUUUACCGGUGCGGGCCGUGAGAGCGGGAGCCCGGAGAUGGGCACUGAGACAAGGGCCCAGGCCCUACGGGGCGCAGCAGUCGCGAAAACUUUGCAAUAAGCGAAAGCUUGACAGGGCUAUCCCGAGUGCCAUCCGCUGAGGAAGGCUUUUACCCAGUCUAGAACGCUGGGGGAAUAAGGAGAGGGCAAGUCUGGUGUCAGCCGCCGCGGUAAUACCAGCUCUCCGAGUGGUGUGGAUGUUUAUUGGGCCUAAAGCAUCCGUAGCUGGCUAGGUCAGUCCCUUGUUAAAUCCACCGAAUUAAUCGUUGGAUUGCGGGGGAUACUGCUUGGCUAGGGGACGAGAGAGGCAGACGGUAUUUUCGGGGUAGGGGUGAAAUCCUAUAAUCCCGGGAAGACCACCAGUGGCGAAGGCUGUCUGCUAGAACGCGCCCGACGGUGAGGGGUGAAAGCUGGGGGAGCGAACCGGAUUAGAUACCCGGGUAGUCCCAGCUGUAAACGAUGCAGACUAGGUGUUUGGACGGCCACGUGCCGUUCUAGUGCCGCGGGGAAGCUGUUAAGCCUGCCGCCUGGGGAGUACGAUCGCAAGAUUGAAACUUAAAGGAAU
This 848-nucleotide ribosomal RNA is filed under the name uncultured archaeon. RNAcentral describes it as "bacterial SSU rRNA". It matches the Rfam family "Archaeal small subunit ribosomal RNA", at positions 37 to 865 of the family's 1478-position model. The record is from RNAcentral.